UUUGAUGUUUCAAACAAUAACUCAAUUCUUUUCAUUGCACAUUCUUUGUUGGCGCGUUUGUGUGGUGUAAAGAUUUGAGUUAUUCUGAAUUUUUAAUGAAUUAAUAAUUUGAUUUGCCAUCUUCAAAGAAAAAAAGUAGAUAUAUUCAAAACUUAAUCUUUUAUCUUCAAUUUUUAAAUCAUAAUCCAUUGUACAGCAUUUUGGACCAUUAAGAGCUGGACAAGACAACCAAAGCGGGUUAUGGUGCUGAAAGUACCAUUAUUGUAAACUGGACUUCUACAAUCCAUUUGAGGGUGUAGUAAUAUCUGCUACUAUUUCCUCCCUAAGGGCGUUGUAACGGACAUAAAUUAAGGCUUAGAAAUAAGAAUGUCACAACAACAGUGAUGUUGUCUACACAUAGAGGUAGCGGGAAAGUAUAGGUCCUAUUUGUAGGGACAGACAGUGCCACUCUGCACGUUAAAGAACCCUUGUCACAACUCUUUUGAGGUGUCAGUAGGAUGUGGCUUGUUGCAUUAAUAGGCUAAAUUUCUGUCCAAAAAUAUCCUCCUCGGUUGGCAGUCAAAAUUCCCCCUCCCUUCACCAUAGGAUUGGACCACUUUAUAGAACCUACAAAUUGAUUUGUUGUGAUAUCAAGAGAUGUGAGACAACUAUCCUACAGAGACCAAAUGAUGUUAAUGUAAAAUAGGUUACUGUAUGGGCUUCAACAAUGAGAAAAUCCACUAACAUUACAAUUUUGCAAUAUUUUGAUUGAGAAUGACUUGUUUUAUACCUCCAAACUUUAACACCUGAUAUUUUUAUUAUCUAGAGCUCGUGAAUUAAUAAUUUGAUUUGCCAUCUUCAGAGAAAAAAAGAAGAUAUUCAAAACUUAAUCUUUUAUCUUCAAUUUUUAAAACAUAAUCCAUUGUACAGCAUUUUGGACCAUUAAGAGCUGGGCAAGACAACCAAACCGUGCAAU
This 955-nucleotide long non-coding RNA is filed under the name Mytilus galloprovincialis (Mediterranean mussel). The record is from RNAcentral. Lineage: Eukaryota; Metazoa; Mollusca; Bivalvia; Mytilida; Mytilidae.